GAUGAACGCUGGCGGCGUGCCUAAUACAUGCAAGUCGAGCGAACAGACGAGGAGCUUGCUCCUCUGACGUUAGCGGCGGACGGGUGAGUAACACGUGGAUAACAUACCUAUAAGACUGGGAUAACUUCGGGAAACCGGAGCUAAUACCGGAUAAUAUAUUGAACCGCAUGGUUCAAUAGUGAAAGAGGGUUUUGCUGUCACUUAUAGAUGGAUCCGCGCCGCAUUAGCUAGUUGGUAAGGUAACGGCUUACCAAGGCAACGAUGCGUAGCCGACCUGAGAGGGGGAUCGGCCACACUGGAACUGAGACACGGUCCAGACUCCUACGGGAGGCAGCAGUAGGGAAUCUUCCGCAAUGGGCGAAAGCCUGACGGAGCAACGCCGCGUGAGUGAUGAAGGUCUUCGGAUCGUAAAACUCUGUUAUUAGGGAAGAACAAAUGUGUAAGUAACUAUGCACGUCUUGACGGUACCUAAUCAGAAAGCCACGGCUAACUACGUG
Molecule: ribosomal RNA, 497 nt
Filed under: uncultured bacterium
Lineage: Bacteria
Description: partial 16S ribosomal RNA
Rfam family: Bacterial small subunit ribosomal RNA
Source: RNAcentral